Molecule: ribosomal RNA, 465 nt
Filed under: uncultured bacterium
Lineage: Bacteria
Description: partial 16S ribosomal RNA
Rfam family: Bacterial small subunit ribosomal RNA
Source: RNAcentral
GACGAACGCUGGCGGCACGCUUAACACAUGCAAGUCGAACGAGAGAAGAGAAGCUUGCUUUUCUGAUCUAGUGGCGGACGGGUGAGUAACACGUGAGCAAUCUGCCUUUCAGAGGGGGAUACCGAUUGGAAACGAUCGUUAAUACCGCAUAACAUAAUUGAACCGCAUGAUUUGAUUAUCAAAGAUUUAUCGCUGAAAGAUGAGCUCGCGUCUGAUUAGCUAGUUGGUAAGGUAACGGCUUACCAAGGCGACGAUCAGUAGCCGGACUGAGAGGUUGAUCGGCCACAUUGGGACUGAGACACGGCCCAGACUCCUACGGGUGGCAGCAGUGGGGAAUAUUGCACAAUGGAGGAAACUCUGAUGCAGCGAUGCCGCGUGAGGGAAGAAGGUUUUAGGAUUGUAAACCUCUGUCUUCAGGGACGAAAAAAGACGGUACCUGAGGAGGAAGCUCCGGCUAACUACGUG